Long non-coding RNA from Gallus gallus (chicken), 1119 nucleotides. The record is from Ensembl. Lineage: Eukaryota; Metazoa; Chordata; Aves; Galliformes; Phasianidae.
AAGAACGUUAUGCAGAGUUCCCUUUGGCUGAGUUAAGGGUAUCAGUGGUGAUGCCCACUGAAAAUAUAUCCGUUGUUCUGCUGUGUUUGUUCUUCUCAGUCUCUGCAGUGACACACAGCUGAGCUGGCCUGAUGGUCUCACACACGUGGGAAGCUCUGAGUGCCCUUCCAGUGCCCGAGCCCCAGGGCUCAGCUCCCAUAGCAGGCUGGGAGAGCUGCUGUGCCUCGCUCAGGACGUGUCAGUCCAUCACAGCACUGUGCCAGGCUGGGGAGGCCAGGGCACAGAUUCCAUUCUCAGGCACUGGGGGCUGUCGUCCCAGGAGUCCUGAAACACAGCAGCAAUUGCUCAGCACGUCUGUUUGCUUCUAAACAAGAAACUUAGAAUUAAGCUAAAAAAAGGGAAAUUUGGUGAACAACAAAACAGUGAGUGCCGCCAGCAGGAGGCUCUUCUCUGCAGCCAGCAAAAGAUUAGUGAGAAUCGGUAGCUGCAAGAUGAAGGCUUGAAGAAAAAACCCCACACUUUUAAUCAAUAAGGAUAUUCAGUCCUGCAAACAAGUAAUGGUCUGGGAUCUGUCUUUAAAAACCAAAACAAAACACAAAGCCACGCAAAUCCCACAGACUGUUCCAUUUAUUGCACAGUUGUUACCACAAAGAAUUGCAGACCAAAGCCACGCUGUGCACUCACUGCACAGUGAGUGCAAUCCAGAGGUGUGCAGUCAGAAGCCAGGCCUCCCGUUCUCCAGGUUGCAUGGAUUGAAGGUAUCAGUGUAAAAAUAAAGAGAGGUGUUCCCUGAAGGCUCUGUGGUCUGGAACCUCCUGAGUGGGAGGUUUGUCAGUGCUUUGUGGAGCUGCACUGGCAGUUCCACUGGAGCUGCACACUCACUGGAGUCCAAGCAGUCUCCAACACACCAGAAGUUAUAAAUGGCUUUAUAUUUCAGACUCCUGAGGCAAACGUGGGGAUUUCAGGGAGCACAAAAGCUGACUGUUAGGAGUUAUUUUAACUUGCAGCUCACCUGGAAGGAAAUAUCUAGGAGAGGAGUGUUAGUGCUAAAAAGAAACACUGAUGAGAGCAGAGCAACACCGAGCAGGAUGCACUCACUGUGUAAAAGCUGAGAUGGAG